Molecule: ribosomal RNA, 663 nt
Filed under: Bacillus sp. T-49
Lineage: Bacteria; Bacillati; Bacillota; Bacilli; Caryophanales; Bacillaceae
Description: bacterial SSU rRNA
Rfam family: Bacterial small subunit ribosomal RNA
Source: RNAcentral
ACGCUGGCGGCGUGCCUAAUACAUGCAAGUCGAGCGAAUGGAUUAAGAGCUUGCUCUUAUGAAGUUAGCGGCGGACGGGUGAGUAACACGUGGGUAACCUGCCCAUAAGACUGGGAUAACUCCGGGAAACCGGGGCUAAUACCGGAUAACAUUUUGAACUGCAUGGUUCGAAAUUGAAAGGCGGCUUCGGCUGUCACUUAUGGAUGGACCCGCGUCGCAUUAGCUAGUUGGUGAGGUAACGGCUCACCAAGGCAACGAUGCGUAGCCGACCUGAGAGGGUGAUCGGCCACACUGGGACUGAGACACGGCCCAGACUCCUACGGGAGGCAGCAGUAGGGAAUCUUCCGCAAUGGACGAAAGUCUGACGGAGCAACGCCGCGUGAGUGAUGAAGGCUUUCGGGUCGUAAAACUCUGUUGUUAGGGAAGAACAAGUGCUAGUUGAAUAAGCUGGCACCUUGACGGUACCUAACCAGAAAGCCACGGCUAACUACGUGCCAGCAGCCGCGGUAAUACGUAGGUGGCAAGCGUUAUCCGGAAUUAUUGGGCGUAAAGCGCGCGCAGGUGGUUUCUUAAGUCUGAUGUGAAAACCCACGGCUCAACCGUGGAGGGUCAUUGGAAACUGGGAGACUUGAGUGCAGAAGAGGAAAGUGGAAUUCCAUGUGU